AGCACUCGGCCUCUCCAACGUGAACGACGCCUUCGACACCUUGUCUUGCAUGGGUAAAAGAGGAAGCCACUAUUUUAUACCAGGGGACUUUAUUUCAUCAUUGGCUACCUUAUUUAAUAUUGGAAGGAGUGGACCACCACUGGGAUGAAGAAAUCCAAGGCUAGGCCACGUGAAUAAUCUGCAAAUGAUAAGCAACAUGACUAAUUGCUUAUUGUUUAUUAUUA
This 224-nucleotide long non-coding RNA is filed under the name Prunus persica (peach). RNAcentral describes it as "long non-coding RNA (PPER_LNC007788)". Lineage: Eukaryota; Viridiplantae; Streptophyta; Magnoliopsida; Rosales; Rosaceae. The record is from RNAcentral.